CCGGCGAGUAGAAGCGUUCAGCACGGCGGGGCCACCCCUUCGCCGCCGCCCGGAAAUUGCUCGAUCC
This 67-nucleotide non-coding RNA is filed under the name Paracidovorax avenae. Its description in RNAcentral is "Acidovorax avenae Xanthine-I sequence". It matches the Rfam family "Xanthine riboswitch aptamer (NMT1 RNA)". Rfam says of the family: Later it was reported as a ncRNA that recognised Xanthine. RNAcentral also lists the same sequence under 1 other name. The record is from RNAcentral. Lineage: Bacteria; Pseudomonadati; Pseudomonadota; Betaproteobacteria; Burkholderiales; Comamonadaceae.